UACGAGGGGGCUAGCGUUGUUCGGAAUUACUGGGCGUAAAGGGUGCGUAGGUGGCCCUGCAAGUCAGAAGUGAAAGCCCAAGGCUCAACCUUGGAAUUGCUUUUGAAACUGCAGGGCUUGAGGGCAGGAGAGGUGAGUGGAAUUCCCAGUGUAGAGGUAAAAUUCGUAGAUAUUGGGAGGAACACCAGUGGCGAAGGCGGCUCACUGGCCUGCAUCUGACACUGAGGCACGAAAGCGUGGGGAGCAAACAGG
RNAcentral lists this ribosomal RNA (252 nucleotides) under uncultured bacterium. RNAcentral describes it as "partial 16S ribosomal RNA". It matches the Rfam family "Bacterial small subunit ribosomal RNA", at positions 524 to 776 of the family's 1533-position model. The record is from RNAcentral.